UACGAAGGGGGCUAGCGUUGUUCGGAUUUACUGGGCGUAAAGCGCGUGUAGGCGGGUCGUUAAGUUGGGGGUGAAAUCCCGAGGCUCAACCUCGGAACUGCCUUCAAAACUGGCGACCUGGACUCAAGCAGAGGCAAGUGGAAUUGCGAGUGUAGAGGUGAAAUUCGUAGAUAUUCGGAAGAACACCAGUGGCGAAGGCGACUUACUGGACACAUAUUGACGCUGAGGUGCGAAAGCGUGGGGAGCAAACAGG
RNAcentral lists this ribosomal RNA (253 nucleotides) under uncultured prokaryote. RNAcentral describes it as "partial 16S ribosomal RNA". It matches the Rfam family "Bacterial small subunit ribosomal RNA", at positions 524 to 776 of the family's 1533-position model. The record is from RNAcentral.